UCGUACGCUUGUAAAAGCGUGGCGAACGGGUGAGUAAUGGCAAGGAACGUGCCUUUUUCCGGGAAAUACCCAGCCGAAAGGUUGGCUAAUGUCCCAUGAGAUCGCAAGAUCAAAGCUCCGGCGGAAAAAGAUCGGCCUUGCUCCUAUCAGCUAGUUGGUGAGGUAAAGGCUUACCAAGGCUUCGACGGGUAGCUGGUCUGAGAGGAUGAUCAGCCACAAUGGGACUGAGACACGGCCCAUACACCUACGGGUGGCAGCAGUUGGGAAUAUUGCGCAAUGGACGACAGUCUGACGCAGCGACGCCGCGUGAAGGAUGAAGGUUUUCGGAUCGUAAACUUCUUUUAUAGGGGAAGAUUGUGACUGUACCCUAUGAAUAAGGGCCUGCUAACUACGUGCCAGCAGCAGCGGUAAUACGUAGGGCCCGAGCGUUGUCCGGAUUUAUUGGGCGUAAAGAGUAUGUAGGUGGUCUUUUAAGUCGGAUCUUAAAUUCCCAGGCUCAACUUGGGUGCUGGAUUCGAAACUAUUUGACUUGAGGAUAUUAGGGGUAAGCGGAAUUAGCGGUGUAGCAGUGAAAUGCGUUGAUAUCGCUAAGAACACCAAUGGCGAAGGCAGCUUACUAUGAUUUCCCUGACACUGAGAUACGAAAGCGUGGGGAGCGAACGGGAUUAGAUACCCCGGUAGUCCACGCCGUAAACGAUGCACACUAGGUAUCAGAAGUAUCGACCCUUCUUGUACCGAAGCUAACGCGUUAAGUGUGCCGCCUGGGGAGUACGGCCGCAAGGCUAAAACUCAAAGGAAUUGACGGGGACUCGCACAAGCGGUGGAACAUGUGGU
Molecule: ribosomal RNA, 834 nt
Filed under: uncultured bacterium
Lineage: Bacteria
Description: bacterial SSU rRNA
Rfam family: Bacterial small subunit ribosomal RNA
Source: RNAcentral